GGGUAGUUUGACUGGGGCGGUCUCCUCCUAAAGAGUAACGGAGGAGCACGAAGGUUGGCUAAUCCUGGUCGGACAUCAGGAGGUUAGUGCAAUGGCAUAAGCCAGCUUGACUGCGAGCGUGACGGCGCGAGCAGGUGCGAAAGCAGGUCAUAGUGAUCCGGUGGUUCUGAAUGGAAGGGCCAUCGCUCAACGGAUAAAAGGUACUCCGGGGAUAACAGGCUGAUACCGCCCAAGAGUUCAUAUCGACGGCGGUGUUUGGCACCUCGAUGUCGGCUCAUCACAUCCUGGGGCUGAAGUAGGUCCCAAGGGUAUGGCUGUUCGCCAUUUAAAGUGGUACGCGAGCUGGGUUUAGAACGUCGUGAGACAGUUCGGUCCCUAUCUGCCGUGGGCGCUGGAGAACUGAGGGGGGCUGCUCCUAGUACGAGAGGACCGGAGUGGACGCAUCACUGGUGUUCGGGUUGUCAUGCCAAUGGCACUGCCCGGUAGCUAAAUGCGGAAGAGAUAAGUGCUGAAAGCAUCUAAGCACGAAACUUGCCCCGAGAUGAGUUCUCCCUGACUCCUUGAGGGUCCUGAAGGAACGUUGAAGACGACGACGUUGAUAGGCCGGGUGUGUAAGCGCAGCGAUGCGUUGAGCUAACCGGUACUAAUGAACCGUGAGGCUUAACCUU
RNAcentral lists this ribosomal RNA (668 nucleotides) under Escherichia coli. Its description in RNAcentral is "partial 23S ribosomal RNA". It matches the Rfam family "Bacterial large subunit ribosomal RNA", at positions 2263 to 2925 of the family's 2925-position model. Lineage: Bacteria; Pseudomonadati; Pseudomonadota; Gammaproteobacteria; Enterobacterales; Enterobacteriaceae. RNAcentral also lists the same sequence under 1 other name. The record is from RNAcentral.